This 253-nucleotide ribosomal RNA is filed under the name uncultured bacterium. RNAcentral describes it as "partial 16S ribosomal RNA". It matches the Rfam family "Bacterial small subunit ribosomal RNA", at positions 524 to 776 of the family's 1533-position model. The record is from RNAcentral.
UACGGAGGGUGCGAGCGUUAAUCGGAAUUACUGGGCGUAAAGCGCGCGUAGGUGGUUUGUUAAGUCGGAUGUGAAAGCCCUGGGCUCAACCUGGGAAUUGCAUUCGAUACUGGCGAACUAGAGUGCGAGAGAGGGAGGUAGAAUUCCACGUGUAGCGGUGAAAUGCGUAGAUAUGUGGAGGAAUACCGGUGGCGAAGGCGGCCUCCUGGAUCGACACUGACGCUGAGGUGCGAAAGCGUGGGGAGCAAACAGG